Molecule: ribosomal RNA, 399 nt
Filed under: uncultured bacterium
Lineage: Bacteria
Description: bacterial SSU rRNA
Rfam family: Bacterial small subunit ribosomal RNA
Source: RNAcentral
GGAAUAUUGCAAAAUGGGCGAAAGCCCGAUGCAGCAACGCCGCGUGGGCGAUGAAGGCCUUCGGGUCGUAAAGCCCUUUUUGAGGGGAUGAGGAAGGACAGUACCCUCAGAAUAAGCCUCGGCUAACUACGUGCCAGCAGCCGCGGUAACACGUAGGAGGCGAGCGUUAUCCGGAUUUACUGGGCGUAAAGCGCGUGCAGGCGGAUUGGAGAGUUGGAUGUGAAAGCACCCGGCUUAACUGGAAGAGGCCGUUCAAUACUUCCAGUCUUGAGUGCAGUAGAGGGAACUGGAAUUUCGUGUGUAGUGGUGAAGUGCGUAGAUAUCCGGAGGAACACCAGUGGCGAAAGCGGCUUCCUGGACUGUAACUGACGCUCAGACGCGAAAGCUAGGGUAGCAAAC